Molecule: long non-coding RNA, 417 nt
Organism: Dreissena polymorpha
Lineage: Eukaryota; Metazoa; Mollusca; Bivalvia; Myida; Dreissenidae
Exons: 3
Source: RefSeq, a predicted model, not a curated record
UGAGUUUAAUAUCUUCACAAUUGGGAAAUCCCAACAUAAGUUGACUGCCAGUUUGACCACUGAUCUGCAUACUAUCAGUGGGAGAGCAUGCUUAAUCCCGCAGCUUCUGCACCAUAUGUUUCCUGGCCGAGUGGUUGAAAGUUGCGACCACACAUUCCAUGGGUGAUGAUAUCUACCAAAAUUCUUGGCGGCACAGUUCUACCCUCGUCAGUUGCACUUGUCCGAGUCUUUCUCUGCCUCUCAACCAACUCGAGAUAUUCCCCCCCCCCCCCCAACUGCAUCCCGGCACAGCUUCACAUCAACCCAUCUAAUUAAUUUGUCGGAAAGGUUGACUACACAAAUUUCCUGUUUGGUUGUGGGGAUAGAAUCAUUUUUUUGUGAAAGUUUGAUUUCAGACACUUAAAAAUUGAAAUUGUC